CUGCGUUAGGGAUAGAAGCGUAAAGCCCACAGCGCGGGUUAGGUUUGUGCGCAGGCAAGGCGAGGACUUGCAGCGGAUAGCCCGGCCGCAG
RNAcentral lists this unclassified non-coding RNA (91 nucleotides) under Mucilaginibacter sp. NFR10. RNAcentral describes it as "Flavo-1 RNA". Lineage: Bacteria; Pseudomonadati; Bacteroidota; Sphingobacteriia; Sphingobacteriales; Sphingobacteriaceae. The record is from RNAcentral.